GCCCGGAUGGUGGAAUCGGUAGACACGCAGGACUUAAAAUCCUGUGGCCAGUGAUGGUCGUGCGGGUUCGACCCCCGCUCCGGGUACCA
Molecule: transfer RNA, 89 nt
Filed under: Bacteroidia bacterium
Lineage: Bacteria; Pseudomonadati; Bacteroidota; Bacteroidia
Description: tRNA-Leu
Rfam family: tRNA
About the family: Transfer RNA (tRNA) molecules are approximately 80 nucleotides in length.
Source: RNAcentral